UAUCAACCCACUUGAUUAGCUGCUUCAAGUCUAGCGGUAUGCUGCUUAAUUUCAGAAACAUUUCCCAACCUUAUCAGCUGCCUGCUUGAAGUUAGUGGUUUACCGUUUGAGUACUAAAAAGUAUAGUUUUGUCCAAACCUACUGAAAUAGCUAUAUAAAUGUACAAGGAAAUAAUUGUAAUCCUAGCUACCCUUCUCUUUGAUCUCAUCCCCAACCAUCAUCUAAGAACAUAGAUUCCCAACCACACUAUACCACUUUGCUGAUAACUUUACCAUAUGAGUGACUGUGUCCGUUCAACUUAAAAUAACAUUUGUUUUUCGAAACCUUUCAAAUCAUUCUUAGUAGAGUUCAGUAACUCAUUUUAUAAGAUUAUAUUUCCACGUAAAUGAAUUUUUCUUAAAAUAUAAUGAAAGAAUAAGUUGAGGUUUUAAAUGCUUUGAUCAUGCAUUCAUUUGCUAAUAUGAGCUUUACAAAAUGAAAUAUCUAAGCUCAAUAACCCUAAUGCCCAUUCUUGUCUAGAUAGAGUUUUGUGCAUUUGAAUACCUUAAGCUUAUGAACAAUGCCUUUCAUAUUCUACCAUUGACACAUGGUUUGUUAUAGUAAAAAAUAAAAGACUGUAUAACUAUAUAGGUCAACAAAAUGUUCUAAAGGAAUGGAGUCAUAUUGAUCCAGUCACUAAAAAUUCCCUCAGAAAAGGGUAGUUGCUCUAAGGAACCAAGAAUAGAGAAAAACUACUCUAAGGAACCAAGAAUAGAGAAAAAGUACUCCAAGAAGAAACAAGUAUAUAUAUAAAAUUAGUGCUUUAAGAAGAAAUAGGUAUAUAUGAAAAAAUAAAUGCCCUUUUUUUUUCCAAAUCUCAAAGUUUAAAAUUUUAUCACUUAUAAUGCUAUGAUUAAUACUUUUACACAUAUAUAAUGCAAGGAAAAUCAUGCAAGUUAGCAGUGGGCAAUAGAAAAAUGUUGUAGCCAAAGGUACAAUGUUAGAAAAAAUUAUCCUAAUGUGAUUGUGCAUAGAGUACCAUUGUACCAUUGAUAGUCACAUAUGUUCAUGUGGCUGUUAAUAUUGCAAUUAAAGGAGAUGCCUUUUUACCAAGGCUUAGUGGGUAUGACUUAGUUCUUGUUAGCCAUGUCAUUAGAUCCCAUGUUGCUUGGUGUCACUGGGCUUUUAUAAACUAGGUGUGGCAACCCGCGUGAUGGCACUAAGAACUCCACUUAGCCAGCCAACCCAAACCCAACGGAAGCAAUAUAAUAGGAAGCAUAUCAGCGCUCGCAAAUGAAGGUUAUGCAAGAGCACUUUCUCGCCAACACAAAGAACAACACGCACACAAAACACAAGAACACAAGUAUUUGGCUUUUUAUAGAGGCAUCAACCCCCAACUUUUCUAUUUCCGCAAUAAGAAAAGAUUUACAAACAAUUUUAGUUUUAUAUGCUCAAGGACAAAAUGCUCAACUCAAAACUCGUGCCCCAACAUACAUCCCCAUCACUAUUUAUAUACAUGGUUGGCAAGUGACACACCCACUUGCUAAGGUUAGGUGGCGCACCACCCUCACGCCACCUUAAAUCCCUCCCCAAGUUUUUAGGCACCCACUAAGCAUGAUCCUAUGAGCACAUCUCCACUCCCCUUUGAUUUGAGCAAUCGCUGCCCACCAUGUCCAUUAGCAAGGAAUCAUGAGUUGUAACUACCACACCUACUAUCUUGCUCCUCAUUUUUAGGCACAUGAUCAAGGCCAUGUUCUCCCACUCUAGUUGUACCAGCAACUGCCACUCACGCUUAAUUUUAGGCCCACUUCUUGGAGAGUUGCAGCCAACCUUGCUCCACGUCUAGCAGCCAUUGUCUAUACCCAGUCAACGCAUGAACGCCUCUAAUUUUCGCAUGAUUCAGCCCCUACGUGCAUGCCUCAUGUCACUACACAUUCACGCGCACUUUGGUACACAAAUAUGCCACAAUCUCGCAGUUGUUCACGCAAUCCAAUAGCUGACUCGCACGCUGUUGAGCCCCAUACUUGCACGCCCUGUGCCAUGCUCGCUUGCGCACCUCAGCGCCUUGUGUUCGCAUGCCCAUUGCGCCCAUGCUCUUGUUAGAUGCUGAGUGCGCCACCCACACAUGCCCUCGCACGUGCUAUCCUGUAUUGCUUGCGCCCAUGCCACAUCAUACGCUUUGCUGCCGCGCCCUAGCCAAUGCGCCAACCUUGCCUUGUUUCUGCGCUCACCACAAGCACUCCCAUUUGCUGCCAAGACUCAGCACAAGUCCCCAAGCCAAGCCAUGAUAGUUGGCCCCAUGACUCACGGCGGUGAUACUUGGCCUAAACAAUUUGUCAUCUGGAAUGAUGUUGGGGUACAUAUUUUUGGGUCUAUCUCAUUUGGCUGGCCCUAAAGCCUCAAGUCUAAAAGGCUUACUUGACGUGCAAUUAAUAUUAAGUUUUAGACUUAGAUGAAAUUAGCCAAAUAAUAAUAUAUAUGAAAGAAAAAGAAAAUCAAGCUGUAACAGUGAUACAAAAAGGAAGAAAAAGACAAGAGAGAAAAAAAAGAGACAAUGGUGUAAUAUUUGUUUUUUGAGGCAAGAGUUUCAAGUUUUGAUUGGACGAUCGAAAUGCCAUUUUAAUUUUGUUUUCUUUUGAAUUUAGUGGGUAAGUUAUUGGCAUCACCUCUACAAUCCUACUUGUCUUGAUUUUUGUUUUAUCCUUUUGUUGGUUGUUAUUUGAGAUACCUACUUAUUAGAUAGAUAAAUAUUAAGUUGUUACUAUAGGCAACGAUUGUUGAGAUUCUUGAUGUUUUUAUGUUGUUAGCCUCUAGUGUUAUGUAGAGAUAAAUUUUUUCUGUAAUCCCAUUAUUAAUAUAAUCUGCUGUACGGCCAAGGCGGAUGUACGGUACAGCAGUUUUCCUAUCUGGAAUUCUCUCUAGUUACAGGCCUACAACACCUUGAAAUGACUUGAAGUACCAGCAAAAAUAGAUGCUCUUUGCAAGUACGCUUGUUGAGGGUUGACUAGAUCAUCAUUUAGUGAAAUUUAUCUUGGGGACUUUGACAAUAAACAAGCUGAAUUAUAUUUAUCAAUUGAAGACAUUGUAUGAUUCUAUGGCGUGGAAAAAAUUGUUAUUGUUGCACAAAGUAAUUAAAUUACUUAUUUUCUUAGCAAUAUAAUUAGUUAUAAUUUUUAUAUAUGCAGUGAAGUAAUUAUUACUUGUUUUCCAUAGGCAUCUUUACGAGGUCUUGAAGGAUCAUUACCUAGACCAUAUUUAUAAAAUAAAUCUAGUAAUCCUUCAACCUUUUGCAAUAAAACUUGAAAUGGUGAUGAGACUAGAGCUUGUGCAAUGUUAUCAAGAAUGGAAAUACUUGAUCUAGAAUAGCUUAUGACAUUUCCUUACAAUACCAGGUUUGUUAUUUUAUUGAUUGUACAUAGCAAUUGGAUUUUUCUUUCCGUUUCUUUUAUAAAAAUAUGCAAGACAGGUAUUUAUCACUAUAUGUAGCAAAGGUUGGAUGUUGAUUGUUAUGGAUCCACACAAAUUUAUAGUAUUUUUUUAUUCACUCAGUCAUGAACCUCCCCCUAAUUUGAAGAACUUUUUAUUAUUGUAAGUUGUCAUUUUUUGUCAAUUAUAACCCAUGUAUUUUUAACAUGUUUGACCAAGUGUGUACUUAAUCAUGUAUCUUAAGUGCUUUCAAGAUUUUUGGGGCAAAAAUGGGAAAUGCGAAUAAAAAAUCCUUUGCUCGGAAGAGGGUUAAGGUAUAUGAAACUGUACAUAUAUAUGUUCGGUUUAAAUUUAUUUACAUAUGCACAUGACAUCGAUUAGUUUAAAAUUCACAUGUAGUGUCCUCAAUAAACUACAAAUGUUGAAUGCCGAUAUUAUGUCAUUAGAUUUAUGAAGUAAUCAUUGGAAACCAAGAUGAUACAAUAAAAGACUUGGUACUAAUUUAUAGAUUUCAUAAUGUUGAUGCAUGUAUUAGUAUUGACUAUUUUGUAUAUGAUGUAUAGUUUGUUGGACGAGAUAGUUACAAUCAAAAGAAUAUUGAUGAAGUAAAAAUGGAGUGGGCAGAGUACAUAUGACAUAAUAUUUUUCCCUAAAUUUUGUAGCACAAUGACUUUGCAAGCUUAGUAAAUAAAUAGUAUUAUUUUUUAUCAAUAUCUUAGUUAUUGUCUUUGUUUCAAAAUAAGACAUUAAAAGGAUUAAUUUAUGAAAUUAUUUCAAUCAUUUUGAUAUUGUAAUCAAGGAAGGUUCAUCAAAAGAUUUCACUCACCAACUUUCUUUGGAUUUGGCAUGAUUAUUGGAGUAGCCAAUAGGAUGGCCACAUUUUGUUGUUCUUGUGAAGGAUGUAAUAUUUUUCUUUUAAGAGAAAAAGAGUUAUGGAUACCUAGAUACUUUAAUUUGGAAAUUAUAAACAUAAAGUGUUUUUUUUUAGUAUUGUUUAUGAUGUUUAGGAUUUGCAUGUGAUUAAUGCAAUUGCUUGAUGAAUAUUUAUUUUUAUACUAUAACUUUUCAAAAAAAUUAUUGCACUACAUGUUAGCAUAAAUAUUUAUAAUAUUAGUAGUAGUAAUAGUAGUAGUAGUAGUAGUAGUAGUAGUAGUUUAGUAGUAGUAGUAGUAAUAAUAAUAAUAAUAAACAUCCAUUUUAGAUCUUUAGUAAUGUAUUCAUAUUAUGGUGACUACUAUCAUUGACAUUCAUUACUUAAAAUCAAUCAUUUAUACUUGAAGAAAAGAGAGUUCUUUUAAAACAUUAGAUGACUGUUUUUUUUAGAAGUAAGUCAUCUAUGUUGAUAUCAAACAUAGUUCUUUACAACAUUAGAUGACUUUUUUUUUUUAAGAAAUGAGUAAUUUAUGAUGCUUAUUAGAUGACUCUCUUUACGACUCAUCUUUUGUACCUCGUUUUAGAUGACCGCUAAAAAGAUUACUAAUUUUACUUUGUCAUCAUAAGGUUAGUUUAAACGUCAUCUAUGUCGUUUUUUGUGGUAGUGAAUCUAUAUAUUUUGUAGCAUGGAAAAUAGAAAAUUUAUUUAACUUAUGUUAAUUAAACAUAAACUGAAUAAGAAAAUCCUAUGAUUCCGUGAUUUAAAUUAUGGCAUCAAUGCCAUAUAAACAUAAAUUUUAUGAAAUACGCAUAAAACUAGUAAAUAAAAAGUAAAAUAAGUAAAUUAGUGAAAGAAUGGUAAAUUAUAGAAUUGUAAACAAGACAAGCUCUUGUGAAAAUAAUAUAAAACUUGUAAAUCAAUAUUAAACUUAUAUUAAACAAAAAAAUUUGAUUCAUUUAAUUUGACUAAACAAAGAAAAAAUUCACUCAUCAAUUGAAAAAAAAAAAUGUAUUGAAAACAAUUGGAAUAAGUUUUAUUGUAUUGGUUUAACCAUACAUUUUAUAUUCAUUCUAGCACAUUCAUAAUUUUUUUUCCAUUUUCUAUUAUAGUAUUGUUUACUACUAAUUAAGCAAAAUUAUUUUUCUUGAUGUAGAUCAAGUCAAAAAAAUAUAUACAAAAAAUUAUUCUUAUAUUACUAGACAUAUAUGAUUUCAAUAAAUUGGAUCUAAUUUUAGCCUUAAUAAAAUUUCACAUAUAUCAUCACAUGUAUUACAUAAGCAAAAAAACUAUCAUUAUUCAAUUUAGAAACAAAAUCAACAAAUAUAUAAGAUAAUCAUUAUUAUAACGAGUUUUUAUUUUAUAUUUAUAAGGUUUUAUUUUUUAAUAUUAUUUAUUUUAAUUUACUUAUUUUACCAUCUAUUUACAAAUCUUAUGUUUGAUUUACAUAAUUUAUUUCUUAUUUUACACAUAGUUUACAAAUUUUAUGUUAUAUCAGUAAGUUUUUGUUUUAUUUGUCAAUAACACUCUAAUUUACCACUCCUAUGUUAAUUUUCUUGUAUUAUCUUUUAUUUACAAAUCUUAUUUUUUAUUUACUUAAUUUACGUUUUAUUUUAUACUUUGGUUUACAAGUUUUAUGUUAUAUUUGUGAGUCUUUGUUUUAUUUACUAAUAAUAUACCAAUUUACUACUCUUAUGUUAAUUUACUUAUUUUAUCUUGUAUUUACACUUUUUAUGUUCCAUUUACAUAAUUUAUGUUUUAUUUUAUACUUAAUAUUGAUUUAUAAGUUUUAUGUUAUAUUUGUAUGUUUUUGUUUUGCUUACCAAUAAUGCACCAAUUUAUUACUUCUAUAUUAAUUUACUUAUUUUACCCUCCAUUCAUAAGAAUUGUGUUCCACUUACAUAAUAUACAUUUGAUUUUACAAUUAAUGUUGGUUUACAAGUUUUAUAUUAUAUUUGUAAGUUUUUGUUUUGUUUACUAAUAAUGCCCCAAAUUACCAUUUCUAUAUAUGUGAAUUUUUUUUUACCUUUCAUUUAUAAGUCUUAUGUUUCGUUUAUUUAAUUAAUGCUUUUUUUCACAUUUAUUGAUAAUUUACAUAUUUAAUUUAUGUUUUAUUUGACAGUUAUUGAUUAUGCACAUAUUCAAUUUAUGUUUUAUUUGAUACUUAUUAAUGAUUCACUUAUUUAUUUUAUGUUUUAUUUGACACUUGUUGAUGAUUCAGAAGUUUUAUGUAAUAUUUAUAUGCUUUUGUUUUGUUUACUAUUGAUAUACCAAUUUAUCACUCUUAUGUUAAUUUACUUGUUUUAUCUUCUAUUUACAAGUCUUAUGUUCCCCUUACUUAAUUUAUGUUUUAUUUUACACUUAAUGUUAUUUUAAAAAUUUUAUAUUAAUUUAAAUUUCUUAUGUUUCAUUUAGAUAAUUUAUGUUUAAAUACAAUAUUAAUCAUGGCAUCAUAGAAUGAAUUUUUUUUUAAUAAUAUUUGGCUCUAAAAGGAAGUUCAAAUUGUUUCAUGCCCCCCUCAUUUCGUGGCCAAAACUAACCCCAGUUAAACGAUUUAUUAGGUAUUACUAUGGAUUUAUGAAGUAAGAAAUAAAAUUAUAAAUUAAUAAGAGCAAUGACAAACAUUUCAAAUGAUAAUAAAAUUUUAUCCUAAAUAAUGUGACAUUCACCAUGUGAAUGAUGAGAUAAUGUAAUUAAGUUAGGAUAUCUAAUAUUGUUUUAAUAAUUACUUUAUUGAAUAAUUUCAUGUGUUCAAUUAUCUCCAUCCUUACAUUUAUUUAAAUAAUAUUAUUAUAUUAUUUAAUAAUAUUACAUUUAUUAAAAAUAAUAAUAUUAAACUUAUUUAAAUGUAAUAUUAUUAUAUUUAGUUAAAAAAAUUAUAAUUUUUUAAAUAAGAGUAAAAUUGUUAUUUGAAACAAUUCACUCCUAAUUCAAGAUAAAGUAAACACAUAAACAAGAUUUUGAUUCUUAUUCCAACUUUCAUUCUAAUGUAAUAAAAAAUCUACUGCUACUCUUACGGCACACUCUCAAUCUCAGAAUUCUCACUCCAAUCCAAGAAGUAAACGUUACCCUAAAAUAUUGGACCAUUUGCAAAGGGAUCUAGUAGUCCUUGAAUUCGGCCCAUACCAGAAUAUUUUCUUUGCAAAAAUCUAGUAUCUUCAGCAGGCUCUCAGUAGUGUUCCUGAAGAGAAAAUUCCCCCUGCUGGCAAAACAAAGAAAUACCAUGCCACUUGGCUUAAGUGUACAAACUUUAUUUAAUAUUCUUUCAUUAACGUUCACUCACAAGAGUACAAAAAUCAGUUAAGUUAAGAGAAUGAAUCAUAAAAAUUCUGGAAUUAGAACAGACUUUAAUUAGUCAACACAAAACAUACUAGUUAUCCACAAUGCAUUAAGCUAACAAAUUAGCUUGAUCAACUGAAAAUAAACACUAUAUAUCUUAUAAUGUAUAUCCGUAACAGCAUAUAAUAUUAAUGGACAUUAUUAUAUAAUUUAGCUUCACCCAAUAUUUAAUUUGAUUAAGCUAAAAAAAUUUUCUUUGAUUAGCAGUCUCUCACAAGACACUUGAGUUAAUAAAAAAAUUAAGAUAAAUUUAAAUAUAAGGCAAAAUUUAUAAUUUCAAGCACAGUAAAGCAUAAAAGGUACUAAUUACCAAAGAAUGGAAGCGUAUAGUUAAUGAAGCAUAGAUUACUAAAAAAGACCCAUCUACAUCUGCUACUCACUUUGAGUGUAGAUCAGAAAAUGGUGUUGCCAUCUAUCUCGUUCCACUUGUCAUCAGUUAUCUCCAUGAGCCUUUCUCCAAUUACUGCCAAGCAAUUAUUUUUCCUCAAUACAACUUUUAUCUUCAUUUUCCACAAUGAAAAAUUAUUUCCGUUGAAUUUCUUAAUUUCGUAUUUUGCCGUCAUCGCUUUUCACCACAAACUAACUUUGCUAAGAUUGGCUCCCACCAUCUCACGUGAACAGUACCGUAUACGUGAAUAGUUCCAUAUAUGUGAAGAGUACUUUUACAUGAACAGUACCACCAACUCCAAAAAAAAAAAUACAACCAAUAACUCUGAUACCACUGUUAGGAAAUUGGUGGGUGAAGCAGGGCCACAACUAAAAUGAAAUUGGAAGAAAAUAAAGAACAAGUACAAAAGAGGACACCAGAAAAUAUUGUAAAUAUUUUACUACGUCCACGGGCGAAGACAGAAGGAAAAUAUUUUACUAGUAAUAUGAGGAUUACAAGUAUUGUAAUAUUUUGGCUCACUUCCCAGAACUCCAAUACACCAAAUCUCUCACUCACUAGACUCACAAGAGCUUUAUAAUUUUAAGCUCUUUAAAUCACUCAAACUCUCUGCUUUCUCUCUCACAAAAAAAUUGAAUUGCUUCGCUCUCAAUGGGAUGCCUAAAUGAGGGUGGGAAGCCCUCUUUAUAUAGCCAAAAUUUUGGCUUUUUUUUUUUAGUAUAAGUCAACAUGGCACCACAAAAAAUGGCGGACUGUGUUGAAUGGCAAGGCACCGCCCAUCCAGCCAUGACUUUAACAUAUCGAGCGUGUAACAGGGACAUGCUAACAAGGACGAAUUCUAUUAUCAAAUUAUGGUUAUGAGAUGAAUUUGCAUCUAAUCCUCAAUCAUUUUUUGCAAUUCUUUUUUUUCAUAUAUAUUCUUCAAUUACUCAAAAAGGAAACAAAGUGGACGCACACAAAAUCUGCCUACUUACAAAUUUUUGGCAAAGUAUGUUUCAAAUCAAUUAACAGCAUCAGCAUAUCUUGAGAUUUUCCUUCUACCGUUAAUUGUAACACAAAAUUAUAAAAACAAAAUAAAAGGAGGAUAGAAGAAAGAAACAUCCACCCAUACCUUUGACAAGAAUGGUUCAAGAACAGUUACAACUUCCACGGACAGAUUGAGAGCGAGCACGACAGAGAGUGGGGCUGCUGUUGCUGGCUUGCUGCUGUGUGUGCGUGUUGAGAGAGAGUAAGAGCGAGUGUGAGAGGGACUGCUGGUGGCCUGGUGCUGCCGUACUGGGCUGCUGCUGCGGGCUGCGAGUGCUGGCAUCCGUGCUGCUAAGAGGGAGGCUCUGCUGUGGCUUGAGGGAGGGGCUGCUGCUGUUUCGUGUUUAGAGAGUUUGGGAUUACAAUUUAGGGUGCGUUUGGGAUUAAGGUUGGGGAGCUGUAGUUUUUAAGUUACAGCAUUAAAGUGUUUGGUAAACACUAGCUGCUAUAACUUGGAAGUUAUGCUGAUAUAAUUUUUUACUUGUAUGAUGGAAAAUAUAUUAUAUCUUUAAUAAUUUUGUCAAAAUUAUUAUUUAAAAUUUAUAUUUACUAAAUAUUACUAACUUUUAUUUCAAAAUUAUAAUUUUUUUUUCACAGUAGCUAUAGCUUAAAAGUUAUAGCACCUCAAUCCCAAACGCACCCUUAGUCACUUGGAAUUUUAAGGAUUUAGUUUUAGGAUCAUGAUCCUCUCCUGAUAUGAUCUUUAUCUGAGCAAGUGCUAUUAAUAUGAUUGGUGGUUAAUAAAUGAAAAAAAAAGUAGUUAAAUCUUAACCAUUCACUAAUAUUAAAAUACAGGUGGCACAAGAUCUGUCAAAGAUUAAGAGUGCUCAGAUCAGGAGAGGAUCUCAAUCCUUAGUUUUAGGGCUGGUUUUUUUUAAUAUAAUUGCACAUGAACCGAAGAGUUUAUCUAUUCGGUUUGGCUCUGAAACCGAACCGAAUUCAUAUACCGUUCGGUGGAAGUAAAAUGAAACCAUCCAGUUUUUUCCCCUUAAACCGAACUUGCAAAUAGAAAUUAUUCGGUUCGAUUCGCCAAAAAUCGAAUCGAAUUUGAUUUCCAGAUAAUUUUUUCCAACCGAACAAAAGAAAAUAAAGAGGAAACAGAAAAGCUCUCCUCUCCUACCUUAAUUUCUUAACCGAACAUGGCCUAAAGGUAAUCAGCACCCUUUAUGCUUUACUGUAAUAAGAAUUAUAAAUUUUGUCUGUUAUAUAAUCCGAUCAAAACUGACCUUAUAUUGAUGAAGAUCAAAUCAAAGAAGCUAAGAUUUAAUAGAACCAGAACCAAGAACAAGCAAAGCAUUAAAGAAUUUGACAAGACCAUAUAACGUGGUUCGGCAACAAGAUGCCUACAUCCACGACUGAAAUCAGCUCUGCUCUGAAACGGUUUUUGAAUGAGAUGUGUAACAGAUGAUUUUUGAGAUUACAGAGAUUAAAACUUCCCUACCUGAGAUUUUUCCAUCUCUCUCAAAAUCAAUCACUAAGACUUUGUAACUGCCAGCUUGUUUUCUUUUAUAAUUCCAGGCAACAACUUUAACAACUGAUGGCCCCACACCAACGCCAGCUCAGCACGCCACCUCAUUCACUCUUAACAGAAUAUAACUACCCAGGCUUCACAAUGUCUUACAUUUACAUUUAUCUUAAAGUUUUUAUUAACUCGAGUGUCUUGUGAGUGACUGCUAAACAAAGAAUUUUUUUUUUAACACAAUCAAAUUAGAUAUCGGUUGUGGCUAAGUUAUAAAAUAAUGUCCAUAAAUAUUUGAUGCUGUCAUGGAUAUACAUUCUAAGAUACAUUGUGUUUGUUUUCAGACGAUCCAUCUAAGUUGCUAGCUUAAUGCAUCGUGGAUAGCUAGUACGUUUUGUGCUGAUUAAUUAAAGUCGGUUCUAAUUCCAGAAGUUUUAUGAUCCAUUUUCAACUUAAUUGAUUUUUAUACUCUUGUGGGUGAACGGUAAUGAAAGAAUAUUAAAUAAAUUUGUAAACUUAAGCCAAGUAGACUGAUACAUCUUUGUUUUCCAAGCACGGGGAAUUUUUUCUUUAACACAAACUAGAAGAUAAAAGCUUUAAUCAAUAAUAAUUACAACGGAAUUCCAGCUUAUGUCGCUGCCCCUUGGACGACUGAAUUGGUAAUCUGAAAAGAAACAAACGGAACUUGCCACGUUUAAUAUAUCUGAAAUAUCAAUCAUUACAAUGCCACUGCGCUCAGAAAUUCAUUUCAUCGCUGUCAAGUGGAUGAAAUUCAUCAAUCCAUUCUUGGCAUUCAUGCAAUCAGACAUGCUUCCUGAGAAAGAAAGUCAAUGGUGCCAGCUUAAGGAAUAAACCACAAAGAAAACCCACUCCAGUCUUCCGCUUAAUAUCAGUCAACUGAGUUGCUAUUUGAACAAGAAAAUGGAUCCAUCAUCUGAAAACAAACGCAAGGAACUAUAUAUCCAAAACAGCAAAUAUCCAGAAAUAACAUUAAUCAAAAUCUGCAACUCUAAAACUAUGACAGAUAAGCUUGCAAAUUUCUUUUGAUUACCUAUUGUUGUUAGCUGUAAGGUGAAUUCAAACACCUGGUUACUAAACGGCGGCGUUUCAAGUUUCUUGAUGGCUUAACAAACUCACAUGAGAAGCACGACCUUGUUAUUACUUUGAAACGGCAAAGAGUGCUAGCGUUUUGGAGUCACUUGAAUUAAGUAAAUCACACAAGCAGUCACGUGAGCUACAAUUGAAGCCAAGUUCAUUAUACCAGAAUCUUUGCACACGUGUCAUAUAGCUGUGCAUUCUGGGUUGUUAAGUUUGUUAAGAGACUGGUUUAUAAGCUGAUGAAUCAGGAGAAGCUGCAUGAAUGCGAGAGAAAUACUGAGAGGAAUUGUAGAGAGAGAGAGAGUUAAAUCUUAUUCUUUGUUCUUUUUUUCUCAACUCUCUGUAACAAACACCUUGAAUCUUUCAAUGAAAGCCUGCUGGUGGAUUCACCCGUGGAUGAAAGCCAUUAAUGGCUGAACCACUUUAAAUUUGCUGAGUGUUCUGUUGAUUGUUCUCCGAUCUUAGUUGUUCAGUUCUUGUGCUGUUAAUAAUCCUUUGUUUGAUUCAAGUGAGGUUUAUUGAUUCUUCCAAAUCGAUUAAUCUGUUACAUGCAACUCGAUUGAUCUUGACAAAGGAUCUUGGGUAGAAUCUGAUUUUUUGUUGUGUGAAUCGAACGAAUCAGAUCCUACACCUAUCAACCACGGUGACAAGAUUAGAAAAAUAAUUGAGUUGAAAAUGCUGUAUUGACAAUCCUCAUUUGAUUUAAAAAAAAAAUAGAGGUGAUGUGAUAUAUCUUUCAGUAUGCAAUCUAAACAAUAAAUUUUUAAAAUAACAAAAAAUGGCAUAUUAGAAAAUCUAGACUAGGACAGAUCGACUAUAUUCUCUCCAUGGUAGUAAAUUUAAGAUAAAAAUAAAAAGUAAGAAGCAUUUUUUAUCAAUUUAGCUAAUGAUACAACUGUAUGGGGGAUAAAAGAAAGCACAUUGUUGUAGGGGAUAUGAGAUGGAAUGGAGCAAUAAAAUCUACUCCUCUAAAUACGAUUGUUACUCGUAUAAGAAUUUCCCAUCUAUGUUAACGCAAGGAAUGUUUGCAAUCUUGGGCCACUCUUUUCCUUUAUCCCUUUUGCACUCUUUUUUCAGCUUCGGACAAGCUUCGAUUGUUAAAUCCAGGAGUGAGGUUGGAAGGCCCUCCUCUGGAAAAGAUUUAAGAUUUGGACAUUUAAUGAGCAGCAAAAAUUCAAGAGAGGUUAGGCUUUGAAAACCCAUUGAAGAUAGGUAUUUCAAUUUCGACAACUUAACAAUAAAGAGGUUUCUGAGAGAGGUCGGCAACAUCAUUCCCAUCUCCUCGUCCGGAAAACACUCUGCUUCAUCACAUCCAUAAAUAUCAAGGCUUCUGAGAGAGGUAAGCCUGUGCAACCCCCACUGAAUGAGUGGCUUAUAAAUUUUCACAUCAACUCCAAUACUAAGUGUUGUUAGAUUGGUGGGAAAACCUUCCUCUGGAAAAGAUACAAUGCUCGGACAUUCACUUAUGUAAAAAUGUUGAAGAGAGUUGAGUUUGUGCAUGUCACUGGGCAGGGCUUCAAGCUUCUCACAAUCGGCUAUCCAAAUGCUCUGUAAAUUAUGCAGGCCAUUGGGUAUUGACUUCAGCUCUGGACAACUACUUAUGUGGAGGUAUUGAAGCCCCUCAAGUAGCUGGAUUCCUGAUGAUAAACUUGUGAGCUCUGGGCAGCGCCUUAUCUCCAGAUGUUUCAGCUUCACUGAUGAAGAAGAAGAAGUAUCAUCAUCUCCACCAUCGACCAAAUGCUGCAAGUUCUUACAAUUCUCUAUCUCAAGCCUUUUAAGAGAUGCUGGUAGCUUGCUUCUUGCAAUGAAUGUUACAGAAUCACAAUCUCGGAUGUACAAACUUUCCAGUUGUGAAUUGUUGCCUAUAAUUUCCUCAGGCAAUGUUUUUAAAGCUCUGGCAUUUCCAAUUUUAAGAGACCGCAGAUUAUUGAGAAAAAGUUUAAUCUCUGGAAAUGAAACUAGACUUACGCAGCUUUCAUCAAUUGACACCUCUUCAGGGGAGGUGAUAACUUGCAACCCUUUCUCUGGCUGCUCAAGUUCAUGCCAUGACGUGAUCCAUUCAAAAUUUCCAAUCCGCAAAGUCUCUACUUGAUGAAGUCCUUGCUUUAAAAAUUUUCUUAACUCCAAAAUAUUGGAAAUAACUGUCACAGAGUCUGCUUCUGGACAACCACUAUGUAUCAUCCCCUUGCAUCCGCGUAUCUGCAAUGUAUCAUUUGAAAUAGUCAUAGACUCGAUCAACUUUGAGUCAAUUGGAGUGCUGCACACAAGUCCCUUGCAUUCAUGAAUUUCUAAUUUGCAAAGAUUCAGAAAGCUUGAGAAUGAAACUACCAACUCUCCACAUUUACUAACAACUAGUUUCUCUAAUGAAGGGAGAUGCUCUGGCAAUUUUCCAGAGAAUAAGGGACAUCUUACCAUGGAAAGUUCACGAAGGCUGGAGAAUCCUGCAACAAUGCCAUUUUCUUCCAAUUUAGUGUCCCAAUACUCCCACUCUGGUAAAUUCUCAAAACAGAGAAUCUCCAAUGAUUGAAAAGGCUUUGAGCAAUCCUCACCAUAAACCUCAGCACCCAUGCUUUUCAGUUUCAUCAAACCUUUAAUAGUAAGAUGUUUAAGUGAACUCAACAACCCGAGCGAUGGCAAGGAUGUGCAAUUUUCACAGUUUUCUAAUUUAAGAACCUCCAUCUUGGAGAAAGAUGUAUCUCCUAUCCAAGAAGGAAAUUUUUUUCCACCAUAGCCCUCGAUUGCAAGUUUCUUGAUGUUUGUACAAGGUUUUAGCAUGCCAAGUACAAGUUCUUCUCCAUCCUUAUUUCGUGAGUUGUCAAACUGAGAUCCCCAUUGCAAUGACAAUGCUUCUAGAUUCUGCUUCUCGCAUAACAUCGCUUCGCUUGCCUCCCACGUACGGUCCACAUUUUCCAAUCCUGAGAUGCGUUACAGAAUCACAAUCUCGGAUGUACAAACUUUCCAGUUGUGAAUUGUUGCCUAUAAUUUCCUCAGGCAAUGUUUUUAAAGCUCUGGCAUUUCCAAUUUUAAGAGACCGCAGAUUAUUGAGAAAAAAUUUAAUCUCUGGAAAUGAAACUAGACUUACGCAGCUUUCAUCAAUUGACACCUCUUCAGGGGAGGUGAUAACUUGCAACCCUUUCUCUGGCUGCUCAAGUUCAUGCCAUGACGUGAUCCAUUCAAAAUUUCCAAUCCGCAAAGUCUCUACUUGAUGAAGUCCUUGCUUUAAAAAUUUUCUUAACUCCAAAAUAUUGGAAAUAACUGUCACAGAGUCUGCUUCUGUACAAUCACUAUGUAUCAUCCCCUUGCAUCCGCGUAUCUGCAAUGUAUCAUUUGAAAUAGUCAUAGACUCGAUCAACUUUGAGUCAAUUGGAGUGCUGCACACAAGUCCCUUGCAUUCAUGAAUUUCUAAUUUGCAAAGAUUCAGAAAGCUUGAGAAUGAAACUACCAACUCUCCACAUUUACUAACAACUAGUUUCUCUAAUGAAGGGAGAUGCUCUGGCAAUUUUCCAGAGAAUAAGGGACAUCUUACCAUGGAAAGUUCACGAAGGCUGGAGAAUCCUGCAACAAUGCCAUUUUCUUCCAAUUUAGUGUCCCAAUACUCCCACUCUGGUAAAUUCUCAAAACAGAGAAUCUCCAAUGAUUGAAAAGGCUUUGAGCAAUCCUCACCAUAAACCUCAGCACCCAUGCUUUUCAGUUUCAUCAAACCUUUAAUAGUAAGAUGUUUAAGUGAACUCAACAACCCGAGCGAUGGCAAGGAUGUGCAAUUUUCACAGUUUUCUAAUUUAAGAACCUCCAUCUUGGAGAAAGAUGUAUCUCCUAUCCAAGAAGGAAAUUUUUUUCCACCAUAGCCCUCGAUUGCAAGUUUCUUGAUGUUUGUACAAGGUUUUAGCAUGCCAAGUACAAGUUCUUCUCCAUCCUUAUUUCGUGAGUUGUCAAACUGAGAUCCCCAUUGCAAUGACAAUGCUUCUAGAUUCUGCUUCUCGCAUAACAUCGCUUCGCUUGCCUCCCACGUACGGUCCACAUUUUCCAAUCCUGAGAUGCAAAGUUCUCCGCCAAGAAAAUUUAAAUUCUUCAAAUCCGUCAAAGUGGAAACUUUUCCCUUGCCCACAAUAAAAUUAGACAACGUUUGAAGACACUUCAACUCCUUCAUUCCCGGUGGCAUCCCUUUUAGUGAAUUUGCACCUUUUAUAUCGAGAUGACGUAACUGAAGCAAAUUCCCCAUUUUGGAUGGCAACUUAAUCAAACAAUAACAAUCUCUUAAUAUCAAUAUUUGCAAGUUCAGUAGCAAGCUUGUUGACUCGGGUAAACUUUUGAUACUAGAGCCUUCGAGGUUGAGAUACCUUAGAGAUCUCAUAGUGUCAAAAGAAAUGGGUAACUGGGUGAUGUAGUAUCCUUUUAAAGAUAGCACCCUUAGCUUCUUGAAUUUUGGCAACAACUCCGAUAGAAACAUGUUACUAAUGUAAGUGGUGGCUCCUAUUGUGCUUAUUUGCAAGAAUGUCCUCAGUUGUGCAAGUUGAGCAUUACCGAUAACUUCAAAUUUAUUUUUACCAUCACACCAUCCUUGAUUGUAAGAAUAAUGACGAACCCUUUCAAAUCUUCUCGAUGGCUUAUUGACCUCUUCUAACCUGAAAAUAGUGUCGCCGGAAACCAAUUGAGUGAGAUCAUGAACUAGGUCAUGCAUUACAAAUUUAGAGCUAUCAACACAUGAUUGCUGGAAAAUUGACCUUGACACUAGACCUCGAAAACACUCUCUUCCCCAUUUUUCUGGCUGCUUAUUGUUUUCGGAAUAUUGCUGGAUGACACCUUCAGCUAUCCACAAAAAAACAAGCUCAUUCUGCUGAAAUUCAUAAUCUUUAGGGAAAAUAGCACAAUAAGCAAAACAUCUCUUCAACUGAGAAGGAAGAUAGUGAUAACUCAAUCUUAACACUGAGAGAAUGCCAUUUUGUUGAGGAAGAUCCAAUAUAUUGCUGUUCAAUAUUUCAUCCCAUUCAUCAUGUCUCUUGGAACGUAAAAGUCCCCCAAGAGUUUUUGCCGCUAGGGGCAAGCCUCCACACUUUCCAACAACUUUCUCGCGAAAUAAAUCUGAAAUUUGUUGUGCAGUAAUAUCUUGACCCACAAACGCGUGCAUCAUGAACAGGGACCAGCAAUCUUCAUCUGACAGGCACUGUAGGUUAUAUUGUUGAAUUGGUUCCAUUGUUGCUGCAACAUGUGCAUGGCGAGUGGUGACAAUAAUUUUACUGUUUGGUGCAGCAGCCAGGAAUGGAGCUUUCAGAUCUUCCCACAAGCAGUAGUCCUCGUUCCAUACAUCAUCUAAGACCAGCAAUAAUUUUUUCCCAUCAACAGCCCUUUUUAUCUGAACCUGCACUUCGUUUAAAGCCUUGAGAUCACAUGAUGCGAAGGUGAUUGACUCAAGAAGAGCCCUUGAAAUGUUCAACACAUCAAAGUCAUCAGAGACACAAACCCAUGCUUUUACAUCGAACUUGGAGUCUUCAAUGGCCCUGUCAUUGUAGACCUCCCGAGCAAGGGUUGUUUUUCCGACCCCAGCCAUGCCAACGAUUGGUAUUACAGCAAGGUUGGAAUGAUCACUUGACGUAUCAGUCAGUACCAUUUCAAGCAUUUUGGCCUUAUCUUGCUGCCUCCCAAAAACAGCACGUUCAAUUGACACACUUGAAGUGGGUGUUCUUCGUUGUGCAGUAGUAGUUGAUGAUGUCCCUCCAGGAGUCAAUUGCAAUCCAAGAUGAAUUCUUUGAUUGCAGAGUCGAUCAAAUCGGCCGGUGAUAUCUUUUAUGCUGGACCGCAUUUUGCCAUUGAAAUUAACAGUGUUCUGAAUUUUGAAACAACCGAAACAACCUGCCGGGACGAGCAUCUGAACUUUGCUACUGCUGGCUCCAUGAUCACGAUCUGCAAUGAACUUGCGAUCCAAAGCGCCAAGGCGGAUGUACGGUACAGCAGAUUGAUCAAUAAAAUUAGUCAUUAUUGACUUUUCAAGCAUAAUCGGUUUACUGCUCGUAAUGAAAUGGAUUGAUGUUUGCUGAUUGAAAUUUUUUCACAAUCAAAUUGCUGCUUGGGAGUUGUCGAUUUACUAUUUAAUUCUAGAGAGUUCACUGAUUGAAGUCGGCUUGUGGCUUGUGAUUUAAUCAGUUUGCCAUUUGAUCCAUAGACCCCUCUAUUGGAAGUUAGCUUGCCGCUUAUGAGUAAACAAUUUGCCAUUUAAUUCUAGAAGCUAAUAUCAACCCACUUGAUUAGCUGCUUCAAGUCUAGCGGUAUGCUGCUUAAUUUCAGAAACAUUUCCCAACCUUAUCAGAUGCCUGCUUGAAGUUAGUGGUUUAUCGUUUGAGUGCUAAAAAGUAUAGUUUUGUCCAAACCUACCAAAAUAGCUUUAUAAAUGUACAAGGAAAUAAUUUUACUCCUAGUUAGCCUUCUCUUUGAUCUCAUCCCCAACCACCAUCUAAGAACAUAGAUUCCCAACCAUGUAUACCACUUUUUUGAUAACUUUACCAUAUGAGUGACUGUGUCUGUUCAAUUUAAAAUAACAUUUAUUUUUUGAAACCUUUCAAAUCAUUCAUAUUAGAGUUCAGUAACUCGUUUUAUAAGAUUAUAUUUCCACAUAAAUAAAUUUUUCUUAAAAUAUAAUGAGAGAAUAAGUUGAGCUUUUAAAUGCUUUGAUCAUGCAUUCAUUUGUUCAUAUGAGCUUUACAAAAUGAAAUAUCUAAGCUUAGUAACCCUAAUGCCCAUUCUUGUCUAGAUAGAGUUUUGUGCAUUUAAAUACCUUAAGCUUAUGAACAAUGCAUUUCAUAUUCUACCAUUGACACAUGGUUUGUUAUAGUCAAAAUUGAAAGACCGUAUAACCAUAUAGGUCAACAAAAUGUUCCAAAGGAAUGGAGUCAUAUUGAUCCA
RNAcentral lists this long non-coding RNA (18477 nucleotides) under Citrus sinensis (sweet orange). RNAcentral describes it as "long non-coding RNA (CSIN_LNC002200)". Lineage: Eukaryota; Viridiplantae; Streptophyta; Magnoliopsida; Sapindales; Rutaceae. The record is from RNAcentral.